RNAcentral lists this long non-coding RNA (9896 nucleotides) under Physcomitrium patens. RNAcentral describes it as "long non-coding RNA (PPAT_LNC014774)". The record is from RNAcentral. Lineage: Eukaryota; Viridiplantae; Streptophyta; Bryopsida; Funariales; Funariaceae.
AAACCCUAAGUCGAAUCCUAAAAAAAUCUUAAAUUAAACCCUAUUCCAAACCCUAAAUCCUAAACCAAACCCUAAAUCAAAUCCUAACCAAAUCCUAAACCCUAAUCCAAAUCCUAAUCUAAACCCUAAUCCAACCCUAAACUCUAAUCCAAAUCAUAAAUCCUAAACCAAACCUUAAAUCAAACCCUAACCAAAUCCUAGUCCAAAUUCUAAUCCAAAUCCUAAAUCAAAUCCUAAUCCAAACCCUAAAUCAAACCGUAACCAAAUCCUAAAUCCUAAUCCAAAUUCUAAUCCAAACCCUAAACCGAACCCUAGCCAAACCCUAAUCCAAAUCCUAGUAAUUCCUAUGACAGAUUUAAACCUCAAUAUCUAAUGAAUAAACCGUUGAUCUCAAUUCAAAAUUUGCACACUUCUUAAAAAUCAAGUUCAAAACAAGCAAAUUUUUUUUGAAAAGGAUCGGAAUUACGAAAUUGACGAAAACCUCAAAAAUGUGUUUAGGUGUUAGCCGGGCUCCUUCUCCAAUCUUGUUGCCAAUCUUCCAGAGUCAAUUUCUCUUCUUUGCGCCGUUCGAUUGGUUUCAAAUUUCUCAAGGAUAUAGAAAAACAAGUCUUAUAUCUUCUCACACAAGUUUUACUCCAAUCCAACUAGUAGAUUGCAUGAAAUCUUAAAAUCCCUCACUGGACCUAAAAUUCUACUUUCUGAGACCUUACCUCACUUAAACCUCAAUAUCUCUUAGAUCAACCGUUACAACAAGCUCAAAUUCACAACAUGUAUUCAACAACAACUAUAACCAUGAAUCCAAAAAAAUUCACCUGUAGAUCUACAACAAAACUCUCGAAAUCACUCAAAACAUAAAUCCUAUUUUAUUUCAUAAAACCCAAGUCAUCCGAAAAAAAACUCAACUUUGCAAAGCUCUUAAAAAUUCAUAUCAACUCCAAAUCACCCGAAAUCAAUGCCCAUAGAAAUCCUAUUCAAUCUUCUCUCAAACCCCACUCUCCGAUCUGCCAAAAAGUCCCGGAGUCGUCAUCGAGACUCGGUUUUGUGCCUCAGGGUCUGAUUUCGACCCUGGUUCAUAAUCGGCCCUCUGCGGGCACCAAUAUCUAAUUUUUCUAAGUAAUUUUUUUUUAGAAUUUACUCUUAACUUUCUUCUAAAGAUUCCUAUAUCAUUUAUUUUCCCAAUAUACUUUUAUUGGCCUUACUUAUGGUACUACAAAGUAAGUAGAAGUCACCUUUCUAAAAGGCAGCAUUGGUACCUUUUAAUUUUUCUACCCCUUUGGCUAUUAACUAUAUUUCUAAGAUAAUUUGUUUUAAUACUUUGAACUAAGAUCUCUUAAAUUAUAAUAAUCUCCACACUCUUUCACCUAUUAAUUGUGUUACAUCACGACACCUCUACCUUUGAUAUCUGGACUCCUUGAUUAGUUGAAUCAAGCUAAGAUCUAUAUCAAAAUAGAUCUAUGAAGAGCAUACAAUUCAAUACACAUCAAAGAAGGAGAUGAAUAGAAGAUGAAUAGGAGAUGAAUAGGAAAUGAAUUCAAGCCAAUGAAGUUCCGAAUACCAAGUCUUCGGUUCCAUUUCAAGCUGUUUUAUUCUCUAUGCCAUUUCAGGGAAACAUCUUUUUCAUGGAAAGAUCCUCUUGGAGGCGAGAAUUCCAUAGAGGUGGAUUUGCUAUUCCAAUUCGGAGUCCAGGGCAGAAAAAUAGGAGACCUCACGGAGUUAAAGGAAAUGAGAGGAAAAAAAAGAAGGCAUUCGGAGAUCGAGAUUUUGGGAUUGGAGAGUUAGCUUCAAGCUCCUUCAAAAGGUGUAGAAUGAGAUUUCAUAGGAUUUGGGAGGACUUUCCAAUCGUUACUCAAAGUCAGUAUUUGUAUUGGUGAAUUCGAUUUUUGCAAUAAAGUAAAGGCUAGUACUCUUGAUUUUUUUACAAAAUUGGAGAGACAUCCGUAGUUGAAAUUUUAGAAGUAUCUAGAUGGCUGAGUAUACUAAGAACAUGCAAAAAUUUGUGUUAAUCUUAUGGUACAAAUAGAGGAUAUUUGAUCAUUAGUAUAAAGAGGUAUCAAAAGUUGGCAUAUUAGAGUUAUUUAGGAUUUUUGUAAUAUCUGAGAUCAACCAGCUGGAAUAAGGUGAAUUUUGACACGGUAAGUUGAGGACUUAAAAGCGGAGCUGCACACAAAAUUUGAAUGAGAAUUAAUGGUCAGAGAAAGAGAAAUUGCAUGUUAAAAUUCAUCAUCAACCUUCUAGGCGAUGGUCAAGGAACUUCAAUGUGGAUUUACGGUGUUCUUGCAAUCUGUAAGUUGGAUUGGAUUGAACUUCUUGAGUAUUUAGACGACUUGUAAAGAUACUAGUAGUAGAAGUCUCACAACAAUCGGACAGUCAGACUGAGAAUUAUAACUUGCGAAGGCUCGCUAUCUAGGGUUAGGAUUUAAAAAUAAAUAAAUAAAAUAAAAUAAUAAAAUAAUAAAAAUAAAAAAUAGAAAUAAAAAUAAAAAAUAACAAAAGAAUCUAUACUUAUAAUAUUUAAAAGCUAUCAAAAAUAGUGUUCUAAGCACUUUGUAUUGGGAUUAAGCUUUUACAUUGAAAUUCGAAAUAGUUUGUGUUUAGAAGGUUGAAAUCCACUAGACUACUUGGAUACUUAGAAAACAUCAUUUUAUCUUCCACAACCAGACGCUCGGUGUAUUUUCAAGCUAGAUAGCAUGUAAUACGACUUAAGUAGUGAACGUGACGUGAAAUGCUUGAGGUGGGAGGUAUUGAGAUUCAUUUAUUUUCAUUUUUAUUCUAUGGAGAACGAGAAUAAAAAUCUUGAAGGAGCUUCAAGUGGAGCUUCUUCUAAAGGACAAGGUAUAUACAUGGAUCCGUCCGUUGCUGGUAUGUUUCAACCUUAUCAUUAUCUAUGCGGCAACAACAAAGCAAUGAUCAUAAAGAAGCUUUAGCAACUAAAGCAUUACUAGCAUUGGUCAAUAAAAUUGAUCAAUUUGAUAGAAGAGAUAUUUCAAGGUAUUUAAGAUGUUAUGUUCAAGAAAUGGAAUUAAAUUGGAUUUCUGAGAAGAAGAUGGUUGAAUUAUUUGGACUUGCUACAAUACCAGAAAUAAGAGAGCAUAUUACAUCAAUUAUGGAGCAUUAUGGAAAUUCAUGGGAGAUUUUUUCACAUGCAUUAAAAGAUGAAUAUUUCUUGGAGGACAAUGAUCGUGUUACUAAGAAACUAUUUCUAGAAUGGAUUAAGCGGCCAAAAAAGAAUUUACAAGCAUUAGAGCUACUAAGGAAAUUUGAGAGGCAGUAUUUUCAAUUAUCGAAGGUAGAAAAAUUGACAUUAGAGCCGAAUAAGGUUGAAUUAUUUCUUCAAGCUGCUGAUGGAGAAUUACAAGAGAAAUUGGAAUUGUUUCUUGAAGACAAAGAAGAAGAUGAAGGAUUGACAACAAAGUGGAAAAAUGUUGAAAAUGUGGUGGAUUUGCUUGCAAAAAGAGAAAAGAGGAAGGAUAGGAGUAAUAUUUCAAAAGCAGUAUAAGCACCUAAAAUUCCAGUACAUACAACACGACCAACAAUGUCUACUGUUCAACCUUCAACAUCUUUAUUGAAGAAAGAAGAAAUGGAGAUUGAAGAAAUAAUAUAUGGAAUGCGAGAUCUUCAAAUCAAAUUGGCAAGACUUAAAGAAAAUACUUCUACAAAUAAUUUGAAGAAUGUUUCAAAACAAGGGUAUAUACAAAGAUGUAUCUUGUAAAAUAACGCUUCACAUACUAGAAAGAAUUUUAGUGAAUAUAAUAAUAUGGUACAACAAGGAAUUAUUUAUUGGAAAGAUGGAAAGAUUAUAUUAUAUGAUAUAGAGGAUCUCUUUUAAACUAAUUUUGGCAAAAGAGGUAUGAGAGCAUUGAAUCAAGAUUAUUUAAUAAAAUAUGGAAUAGCAACACGAGAGAGUGCAAGUUAUGGCACUAGAAUAGAUGAUGAAUUUGGUGGAAGUAUAGAAACUAGUGAAUUUUGGACAUUUUCUUUUUAUACAAUGCAAAAAAGAAAAAUGCCUCAAGAAGCGUUAUUGAGGAGUGCAGCUAUAAUAUGAGGUGCAACAGGUUGGAAAGAUUUUGUUGAGUUUCUUUUAGUUCAUGCAUAUAGAUUUUGUUGAGUUUCUUUCAAUUCAUGCUAAGAGCCAACAUGAAGCUUUGAUAGAAGAAAAGAGAUGAGGAAAUUUUGAUGAUACAAAAAAAAGAAAUUCUUCUAAAAAGCAAACUUGAGGAGACAAGGCUCGUGAGGCGGCUUCACAAGAAUUGCCUAUAAAGGAUACUUCGACAUCAUUGGAAGAAAAAAUAAAGGAGACAAAAGAUAAGGAUAAAUCAAUUACUUAUAAGCUACUUUCUGAUAUUGAAGUGGCAAAAAAUUUAAAAAAGGUGUUGGAAGAACAUAUAUUAAAUGCUAAGGUGGAAUUCACAUUGAAAGAAAUGUUGGGAAUUGCAAAGAAGGAGUUUUAUGAUAUUAUCAUUGACAGCAUUAAGCGAAAGAGGUAAAUAAUGGACGAAGCUGGAAUGAGUCAUGCUAUUGAUCCAAGAUUAUAUAAAGAUGAAAAAGAGGUUGAUAAUGGUUAUAAGCAAUCAACAAAUGAAAAGAAUGGAUAAAAUCAAUGACUACAUUUUGAAGAUUAUAGUGAUAAGGAAAUGGAAGCUUCAAGCCAUUAUAUUCGAAAAUAUUGGACAAAAAAAACUAUUGAAGUAUUGGUGAAAGUAGGAGAUAUAGAAGAACCAAUUGUUGCUUUAGUUGACCAUGGUUCUGAAAUAAAUCUUAUAUCUAAGGAUCUUUAUAAAAAGCAGAAAUGGCCAAUUGAUAUGGAAUAUGGAUGGGCAGUACAAGCAGCUAAUAACAUGCGAGACAAAUUAUAUAGAGCUUGUCAAGAUAUCAAAAUUCGGAUUGGGGAUGUUACGACAAAACAACAUUUCUUUGUUUAAGAUACAACGUCUUAUCCAUUGAUUUUAGGACAACCUUAUAUUACAGCAACACAGAUGGAAACAAAAAUACUUGACAAUGGUUCUACUUAUGCGAGAGUACGUAGUGAAGAUGGAAGGAAAGUUGUACAAUUUCUAACAGUACCUCAUAAUCAUGAAUGGAAUCGAGAUAGGUUGAGGGAAAAACCAUUGCCAAGGGUUGUUGAGGGAUUUAAAGAUUUUGGGAAAGUGCCACUGUAAAACAAGAUUAUAAAGGUAUAAAAGAGGAGGUGCUCUCGCAAGAUGAAGAUGUCUUUGAUGCGAGUUUUAUUGGUAUUUUUGAGAAUAAAAAUAUUAUGUAUAAAAAAGUUGAUGAUUUUAAAAGAAAAGAAAGAAAAAGAUUAUAUAGUAUUGAAAAGGAAAUUAUGCAAGUUAGGAACAUUAGAAGAUAAUGAAAAGAUUUUAGGUGUUUAUGAAGAAAAUGGAUUGGAGGAUUCUUUAGAAUUAAUUACAUCUAUUGGAUUAAGGGAUAAUGAUAAGAUUGUGGAAAUUCAUUCGAAGGAGGUUUAUACUAUACUUGAAUCUUUUCAAGCACCUGAAGUUAUUGUAGAGACAAAAUAUAAAAUAGUAGAUAAAAAGAUAUAACCUAUUGCCAGACCUUUACUAAAAGAUUCUAAGGAAAAGAUGGAAGAAGCAUCAAAAGAAAAGAGUUUAAGAGAUCCAAAGAAGAUUGGACAUUAGUUUAUAAAAGAAACUUUUGAAGAAUUGAAGAUUAGAUAUAAUGGUUCUUUAUUUCCAAUAAAAAUUAAAUAUUUUAAAAAAAUGCUUACAAAAUGAGAUAAAUCAUUUGCCUUUGGAUCUCGUGAAAUAGGAUGUAUAGAUCCUAAUAUUGUUGCUCCUAUGGUUAUCUUUACAGUACCUCAUGUGCCUUGGAACUUAAGGUCAAUUCCUGUGCCGAGGGCACAUUUACCUAAAUUGGUAGAAUUAUUGAAAGAAAAGAUGCAAAUGAAAAUUUUGGAGUCUUCUUUUGCUCCAUAUUCUAGUCAUUGAUUUACUAUGCCUAAGAAAAAUGGAUCAUUACGUUUUAUUCAAGAUAUGUAGCCAAUGAAUGUAGUAACUAUAAGAAAUGCAAGUAUAGGAGCUUUAGUUGACGAGUUUGCAGAAGCAUUUGCGAGAAGGGUAAUUUAUUCAAUGGAUGAUUUAUAUUUGGGUUAUGAUCAAUUUCAACUUGCACAUGGGAGUAGAUAUCUAACAACAAUGAGAAUGCUACUUAGAUUACUUAAAAUGUGUACUCUUCCACAAGGUGCUACUAACUCAGUUGUUUAUAUGAUGAAUGGGAUGAACAAGGUAUUAAGAGACUUCAUUCUUGAAAAAACUAUGCCUUUUUUAGAUGAUGUUCCUAUCAAAGGAUAUAAAGAAGGAGAAAAAGAUGAAACUUUAGAUAAGAAGGGAUGUUGCAAAUAUGUUGUUGAUCAUAUACAAGAUUGUGAAAAGAUUUUAACUCAACUUGAAGAGGUUCAUCUUACACUUUCAGGAGCAAAAUCUACAUUUGGAAUGCAAGAAGUUCUUAUUGUUGGGCAUUUGUGUAGAUUUUAUGGGAGAAAGCUAGAUCCAAUCAAAGUUGAUGCAAUUGGAAGGAUGAAGGAUUCAUAUGACUCUUUAACGGAAGUAUGCAGGUUUUUAGGAGCUUAUGUAUUUUAUCGUAUAUGGAUUCCUCAUUAUGCUCAUGUAGCAGAUCCAUUGUAUGAAUUAUUAUGUAAGAGUUAUCGAUUUAAAUGGAAAAGAAAGCACACUGAAGCAAUGCAGAAGCUAAAAGCAUUAUUGGUAACACCUCUAAUUUUAAGACAAAUUGAAUAUGACUGUAAUAGAUAAGUAAUUCUUACUAUGGAUACCAGUCCUAUUGCUAUUGGAUGGGCUAUGGAUUAAGAUGAUUUAUGUGGAAAUAGAUUUGCAGUUCAAUUUGGAGCUAAAGUUUUAAGUACUCGUCAACAUGCAUAUUUGCAAGUCAAAAGAAAACUUUGGAGAGUUGUUUUAGCUAUGAAAGUUGAAAGGGAUUAUUUGAUUGGUGUAGCAAUAGUAAUUAAAACCGAUUGCUUGCCAUUUCUUGGAAUGAUUAUUAAUUGUUCAAUGCCAAAUAUUCCAUUGUUAAGAUGGAUUGCUUAUAUUAAGUCAUUAAAUCCGAAAUUUAAGAAUAUUAUUGGAAAAGAUAAUUUAGUAGCAGACAUGCUAUCUAGAGCAAGAUAUGAAAGAGUAGACGAAAUGAUUGAAGACAUUGAUGAUGUUGGAUCAAAAUUCUAUUCAGUAUCAAAUCUUAACAAAGAAGACAAGCUAUUUCUUAAAGAAUUUUAUAAGAAGAAUUAUUGAAUAUUGAUCAUUACUUGAAUACCUUGACUAAGCAAGAAAAUUGGUCUACAAAAAAAUUUAAACAAAUAAGAAAAAAAAGCAUAUGGAUUUUUGCUUCAAAAUGGAUUCUUAUGGAAGAGACAAAAAAAAAGAAUUGGAAUGCCACAAAGAGUGAUAGGCAAUAAGGAAGAGAAACAAAAAUUAUUAAAGGGAUUUCAUGAUAGUUUAUGGGUAGGACAUAGAGGAAUUUGGGCUACUUUUGCUAAGCUUAAGGAACAAUAUUGGUGGAAAAAUAUAUAUUGAGAUGUGCUCUUAUUUGUAGAAUCAUAUAAAAUUUGUCAAACGUAUGCUAAUAUACGACAUCGAGAUGGUCUUCAUCGUACAUAUCCUCUAGCUAUUCAUUUUAAAUGGGUUGUUGAUUUGGUUAUUAUGCCAAUCGGGUUAUGGCAAAUGAGAUAUUUGGUCUUAGCUUGUGAAAAUUUAUCAAAUCAAGUAGAAGGAAGAGCAUUGAGAAUAAAAUCUAUGAAAGGAAUUUGUAAAUUUUUGCUUGAAGAUGUUAUUUGCUGUGACGGAUGUGUAGGAGAAAUCACUGCAGAUUGUGGAGAAUUAAAUGCAUAAGAAGCUCGUGAAUUCUUUGAAAGAUUUGGAAUUAAACUAUCAGUGACUACUGCUUAUAAUCCUGAAGGAAAUGCAAAAAGUGAACGUGGUUACUCGUCGAUUGUGAAAGUAUUAGUUAAAGCUUGUAAUAGGAAGGUUAGAAAAUGGCCACGACUUUUGUCAUUUGUAUUAUGGGCUGAUCAAAUAAUUCAUAGCUCAGUAACGGGAUAUAUGCCUAUUGAACUUAUGACAGGUCAAAAACCAAUUAUGCCAAUUGAAAAAAAAGUACCUACUUGGAGUGUGCUACCAUAGAAAGAUGAAUUGACAAGAGAAGAACUUCUAUCUAUUAGAAUUUAAUAAUUAGAACAAAGAUCAAAAGAUAUGCAAAUAGCAUUAGAAAGGUUAAAAAGAGUGAGAUUACAAAAUAAGGCACGAUUUGAUAAGCAGCAUCGAUUGAGGCCUAAAACAAUUGAAGAAGGUGAUUGGGUUUUGGUCUAUGAUAGUAGCUUGGACAUUCAACAUAGUACUGUAAGGAAGUUUUCUAAGCGAUGAUUUGGAUCGUAUGUGGUAACAACUGUUCCUGAUAAUGCAACUUACUCAUUGCGGGAGUUAGAUGGAAUAAGGUUAAAAAUACCAAUUAUAUGGAAGCAAGUAAAAAUAUUUAAACAAAGAUAUACAAAAAUAAAUAUAGAAGACCUUGGUGAAGAUAAAGAUAUUCCUCAACAAGAAGAUGAAAUUGACUUGGAUAACAAAAGUGAUGAAGAGGAUUUAGACAAAGACUUAGAGAACAUAUUAUAAAUCAAACAACAACUAGGUUAUUUGGUGCAUACGAGAGGAUGCAUAGGAUGUCCUGUUGCAACACGUCUAUAUGGUGAAAAUAUAAAUGGAAAAGAUUUAUUAAUAUUAAUCAACUUGGAUGUAAGAAACAGUGGCCAAUUCCAGUGCCAAUAUUCAGGGACUAGUUAAUAUCAUCCUAUUGCAAGCUGUACCACCGAACGUGACAACAGCGUAUGUUCUACCAGUAUCAUCGAACUAAUUACCGUCCGUACCAACGGGACGACCAAGAUCAUUUUCUAACCCUACAUGGAACAAGCCUAUUAGGUAUGUAUUAGUGGAGACACCCAAUAUGCCUCAUGGGGGUGCAAGAAGACCACUUCGUUGUUUCCACAGAGAUUGGUCAUUAUGCUAGUAAAUGUUCCAAUCUGAGAACCAAUGACAAUUACGUGCAAGUAUGUGGGAAUAACAAGCAGUCGGGGCAUACUUAUCAGUAAUGUAAUGCUCCGUUCAAUUUUAAUAAUCGAGAUCAACAGAUCCAAAGCGAAAGAAAAGUUGAGGGGAUAAAUCAAGGUCCUCAAGAUUCUCCGGUAAAUCGAGUAGAAUGAGUCCGAGCCGUUCUUAUAAGUGUCGUAAUAUGUGAAGUCUUUCUUGAAAAUACUUCGAGCACCUGGCUAUGGAAGGAAGAAUGGAAAUUGUAAUAACAAAAUCCUAAUUCUAAUAGAAUACUAACAAUGCUCUAAUUAGAGCAUAAUAAUGCUAAGCUAGCUUAAUCAAAUUCAAAAAAAAACCUCAAAGAAAUUUCAAACAAACAAUAAGAAAUCUUAAAGAAAAAUUAGAAAGAAUACAAAUAUCACUCAAAUACAUCUCAAUUAAAUCUUAAUUUAAUUCUAAGUAAAAUCCUAUUGAACUUCAUUCAAACUUUAGGACAAAACUAAUUGAAUCUUAAAUCCUAAUAAAAUCCUAAAUCCUAAAUCAAAUCCUAAACAAACCUUAAAUCAAACUCCAACCAAAUUUUAAACCAAAUCCUAAACCAAAUCCUAAAUCCUAAAUCAAAUCCUAACCAAAUCCUAAUCCAAAUCCUAAAUCCUAAACCAAACCCUAAUCCAAAUCCUAAACGCUAAAUAAAACCCUAACUAAAUCCUAAACCCUAAAUCAAAUCCUAAUCAAAUCCUAAAUCAAACCCUAAUCUAAAUCUUAAUCCAAAUCUUAAAUCCUAAACCAAACCCUAAUCAAAUCCUAAAUCAAACCCUAAUCCAAAUCUUAAAUCCUAAACCAAAUCCUAAC